Molecule: unclassified non-coding RNA, 734 nt
Filed under: Hevea brasiliensis (rubber tree)
Lineage: Eukaryota; Viridiplantae; Streptophyta; Magnoliopsida; Malpighiales; Euphorbiaceae
Source: RNAcentral
UGAAUUCUUUUCUGUUCCUUUUCAUAUAUUUGGUGGGUCUGCUUAUAAAUGCCAAGACACCACUUGCAGGUAAACGCCGCUUGCUUCUUUUUAGAUCUCCAAGUGAUCUUGGAUUAUGCAUUCUCGACUUUUAAUUCCUACAAUAUGCCUUAAUUUGUUGAAAUCUUGUCUAGGGCUUGUAUUCUUUGUGUGUGAUGUAAAUUUCUUUGUUUAUUUUUGGCAUCGUUGCUAAAUUUUUCUAAUGUGCCUGACAUCUAAUAUCUGGAAUAAGAUUUUUUUCUUUAUACAAAAUAUUGGUGUUCACAUGUAAUUAUCCAUCAACUAUCAAUGGAUUAUAGAAAUUACAUUUCAGGUGCUCAUUUAAUAUCUUCUGGAAAUGGAAAAAGAAAAAUAUAUGAAAGAAUAACAAUGUAAAAUCCUCAAUGUCAAUUUGGCUCUUCCUAGAGCUUAAUUAGUUAACUACUAAUAUGGAUGAUAGUUCUUCAUGUUAUUCUAUAUUGGUUUAUGAAUAAUAGUUUACUGUUAUUGGACUUCUCUUGCAUCAUGUUUUGUUACAUUUUUUUUAUUACAUUUUUUUUAUCACUCACCUUCCAUAUUCAUUUCUGUUUUAGUUAAAUGAUUUCUGUUAACUUAGCUGUGGUGGUGUUUAUUUUAUAUCUCUUGAUCAGUGAUGCACACACAGUUGGGUUAAUUAAAUACCAAGAGCCAUACCCAGUUGGCGUGGAAGUCGUUCA